GUGGGGAAUAUUGGACAAUGGGCGAAAGCCUGAUCCAGCCAUGCCGCGUGUGUGAAGAAGGUCUUCGGAUUGUAAAGCACUUUAAGUUGGGAGGAAGGGCAGUAAGUUAAUACCUUGCUGUUUUGACGUUACCGACAGAAUAAGCACCGGCUAACUUCGUGCCAGCAGCCGCGGUAAUACGAAGGGUGCAAGCGUUAAUCGGAAUUACUGGGCGUAAAGCGCGCGUAGGUGGUUUUGUAAGUUGGAGGUGAAAUCCCCGGGCUCAACCUGGGAACUGCCUCCAAAACUGCAUGACUAGAGUACGGUAGAGGGUAGUGGAAUUUCCUGUGUAGCGGUGAAAUGCGUAGAUAUAGGAAGGAACACCAGUGGCGAAGGCGACUACCUGGACUGAUACUAACACUGAGGUGCGAAAGCGUGGGGAGCAAACAGGAUUAGAAACCCGGGUAGUCC
Molecule: ribosomal RNA, 450 nt
Filed under: uncultured bacterium
Lineage: Bacteria
Description: bacterial SSU rRNA
Rfam family: Bacterial small subunit ribosomal RNA
Source: RNAcentral